GGUGGUGCUGAUGUGGACUGUGGAAACACCUGUUCCCAUUCCGAAUACAGUAGUUAAGCACAAUCCAGUCGAUGAUACUGGUCUUAUUAAGACUGGGAAAGUAGAUUAGCGCUACCA
This 117-nucleotide ribosomal RNA is filed under the name Fibrobacter sp. The record is from RNAcentral. Lineage: Bacteria; Pseudomonadati; Fibrobacterota; Fibrobacteria; Fibrobacterales; Fibrobacteraceae.